AAUAGAUACCCUGGUAGUCCACGCCGUAAACGAUGGAUGCCAGCCGUUAGGCAGCUUGCUGCUUAGUGGCGCAGCUAACGCAUUAAGUGCCCCGCCUGGGGAGUACGGCCGCAAGGCUAAAACUCAAAGGAAUUGACGGGGGCCCGCACAAGCGGCGGAGCAUGCGGAUUAAUUCGAUGCAACGCGAAGAACCUUACCAAGGCUUGACAUAUACGGUCUAUCCCUAGAGAUAGGGAGUGCUUCGGCGCCGUAUACAGGUGGUGCAUGGUUGUCGUCAGCUCGUGUCGUGAGAUGUUGGGUUAAGUCCCGCAACGAGCGCAACCCUCGUUCUAUGUUGCCAGCACGUAAUGGGUGGGGACUCAUAGGAGACUGCCGGGGUCAACUCGGAGGAAGGUGGGGAUGACGUCAAAUCAUCAUGCCCCUUAUGUCUUGGGCUUCACGCAUGCUACAAUGGCCGGUACAAAGGGCUGCAAUACCGUAAGGUGGAGCGAAUCCCAAAAAGCCGGUCUCAGUUCGGAUUGAGGUC
This 526-nucleotide ribosomal RNA is filed under the name uncultured bacterium. Its description in RNAcentral is "bacterial SSU rRNA". It matches the Rfam family "Bacterial small subunit ribosomal RNA", at positions 777 to 1305 of the family's 1533-position model. The record is from RNAcentral.